This 255-nucleotide ribosomal RNA is filed under the name Corynebacterium amycolatum. RNAcentral's name for it is "partial 23S ribosomal RNA". It matches the Rfam family "Bacterial large subunit ribosomal RNA", at positions 2030 to 2284 of the family's 2925-position model. Lineage: Bacteria; Bacillati; Actinomycetota; Actinomycetes; Mycobacteriales; Corynebacteriaceae. The record is from RNAcentral.
GACCCGGCGAAAUUGCAGUACGAGUAAAGAUGCUCGUUACGCGCGGCAGGACGAAAAGACCCCGGGACCUUCACUAUAGCUUGGUAUUGGUGUUCGGUUCGGUUUGUGUAGGAUAGGUGGGAGACUGCGAUGCCUCAACGCCAGUUGGGGUGGAGUCGUUGUUGAAAUACCACUCUGAUCGUAUUGGACAUCUCAACCUCGGCCCGUGAUCCGGGUUAGGGACAGUGCCUGGUGGGUAGUUUAACUGGGGCGGUU